GGCAUAGCUCAGUGGUAGAGCACCUGCCUCACAUGCAGGAGGUCUAAGGUUCAAUCCCUGGCAUCUCCA
This is a non-coding RNA of Rhineura floridana, 69 nucleotides long. Lineage: Eukaryota; Metazoa; Chordata; Lepidosauria; Squamata; Rhineuridae. The record is from the annotation of a RefSeq genome assembly.